RNAcentral lists this ribosomal RNA (376 nucleotides) under uncultured eukaryote. Its description in RNAcentral is "partial 18S ribosomal RNA". It matches the Rfam family "Eukaryotic small subunit ribosomal RNA", at positions 592 to 975 of the family's 1831-position model. The record is from RNAcentral.
CAAUAGCGUAUAUUAAUGUUGUUGCAGUUAAAAAGCUCGUAGUUGGAUUUCUGAUGGGAGCCCUGGUCACUUUAACGAGUGUACUGAUGUGGCGUCCUGUCGUUUCAUGGGGAUGCUUGCUGGUAUUAAGUUAUCGGCUUGUGGAUCCAUGUCGUUUACUGUGAAAAAAUUAGAGUGUUCAAAGCAGGCCAUCGCUGUGAAUACAUUAGCAUGGAAUAAUAAGAUAGGACUGUGGUGCUAUUUUGUUGGUUUGCGUACUACGGUAAUGAUUAAUAGGGAUAGUUGGGGGUAUUCAUAUUCAAUUGUCAGAGGUGAAAUUCUUGGAUUUAUGGAAGAUGAACUACUGCGAAAGCAUUUACCAAGGAUGUUUUCAUUA